Molecule: long non-coding RNA, 404 nt
Filed under: Capsella grandiflora
Lineage: Eukaryota; Viridiplantae; Streptophyta; Magnoliopsida; Brassicales; Brassicaceae
Description: long non-coding RNA (CGRA_LNC000846)
Source: RNAcentral
GGAUAACCUUUAGUGGACAUGUUCUUCAGCUCUUUCAUCGUGAAUUAUAUUCCAUGAGAUACUGUAACAACUACACCAACAUGCAUCUUAUACUUCAUAAACAAAGGUUUCAUGACCACAUUUAGAGAAAAGAGUGCAGUUUUAUGGAUAUUGUCCAAUAUAUGCAGUUUUUGUGGAUAUUGUCUAAUGGACCUUGAGCUUAAUACUUUUGUUCAAAACUUGAAUUUUCCCUAACAUGUCACUUGCUUGAAUAAUGUAACGAUGGAAAAGAGUUCAUGGAUAACCAUGAUAAUGUCGAAAUUUGAUUUGGGGAUAUAGUAAAGCUUUUAAACAUGAAGUAAUCUUCUCAUGUUUAGUAUAUCGGGUGGACAAGAUUUCAUGGACAACAAUAAUAAGAGAGAGUG